AACGCUAGCUACAGGCUUAACACAUGCAAGUCGAGGGGUAACGAGAGGAAAGCUUGCUUUCCUUGUCGACGACCGGCGCACGGGUGAGUAACGCGUAUCCAACCUGCCCCCAACUAGGGAAUAACCUUGCGAAAGUAAGACUAAUACCCUAUAAUUUCCUCAGAUGCCAUCUGACGAGGAAUAAAGAUUUAUCGGUUGUGGAUGGGGAUGCGUCUGAUUAGCUUGUUGGCGGGGUAACGGCCCACCAAGGCAACGAUCAGUAGGGGUUCUGAGAGGAAGGUCCCCCACAUUGGAACUGAGACACGGUCCAAACUCCUACGGGAGGCAGCAGUGAGGAAUAUUGGUCAAUGGGCGGAAGCCUGAACCAGCCAAGUAGCGUGCAGGAUGACGGCCCUAUGGGUUGUAAACUGCUUUUAUACAGGAAUAAAGUUAGCCACGUGUGGUUAUUUGUAGGUACUGUAUGAAUAAGGACCGGCUAAUUCCGUGCCAGCAGCCGCGGUAAUACGGAAGGUCCAGGCGUUAUCCGGAUUUAUUGGGUUUAAAGGGAGCGUAGGCCGUCUGUUAAGCGUGUUGUGAAAUGUAGAUGCUCAACAUCUGAAUUGCAGCGCGAACUGGCAGACUUGAGUGUGCGCAACGUAGGCGGAAUCCGUGGUGUAGCGGUGAAAUGCUUAGAUAUCACGAAGAACUCCGAUUGA
RNAcentral lists this ribosomal RNA (695 nucleotides) under uncultured Bacteroides sp. Its description in RNAcentral is "bacterial SSU rRNA". It matches the Rfam family "Bacterial small subunit ribosomal RNA", at positions 32 to 716 of the family's 1533-position model. The record is from RNAcentral. Lineage: Bacteria; Pseudomonadati; Bacteroidota; Bacteroidia; Bacteroidales; Bacteroidaceae.